UCCUAUGAUGGCAUGGAAUCUUUGAGACCUGAUUUUAAAAUUUGAUGACAGCUAUAAGCAUAUUUGCUGAGGAU
Molecule: small nucleolar RNA, 74 nt
Organism: Arachis stenosperma
Lineage: Eukaryota; Viridiplantae; Streptophyta; Magnoliopsida; Fabales; Fabaceae
Product: small nucleolar RNA R66
Exons: 1
Source: RefSeq, a predicted model, not a curated record